RNAcentral lists this ribosomal RNA (949 nucleotides) under Mucor irregularis. RNAcentral describes it as "eukaryotic LSU rRNA". It matches the Rfam family "Eukaryotic large subunit ribosomal RNA", at positions 81 to 938 of the family's 3401-position model. Lineage: Eukaryota; Fungi; Mucoromycota; Mucoromycetes; Mucorales; Mucoraceae. The record is from RNAcentral.
UAGUAACGGCGAGUGAAGAGGAAAGAGCUCAAAGUUGGAACCUGUUUGGCUUAGCUAAACCGGAUUGUAAACUGUAGAAGUGUUUUCCAGACACGCCUGGUAAAAAAGUCCUUUGGAACAGGGCAUCAUAGAGGGUGAGAAUCCCGUCAUUGGCCAGAGCUGUUGUCUUUUGUGAUACAUUUUCAAAGAGUCAGGUUGUUUGGGAAUGCAGCCUAAAUUGGGUGGUAAAUCUCACCUAAAGCUAAAUAUUUGCGAGAGACCGAUAGCGAACAAGUACCGUGAGGGAAAGAUGAAAAGAACUUUGAAAAGAGAGUUAAACAGUAUGUGAAAUUGUUAAAAGGGAACCGUUUGGAGCCAGACUGGCUUGAUCGUAAUCACUCUAGGCUUUGGCCUGGAUGCACUUGCGGUCUAUGCCGGCCAACGACAGUUUUGUUUGAGGGAAAAAAUUACAUUGAAUGUGGCCCUUCGGGGUGUUAUAGCUUUGUAAAAAAUACCUUGGACGGGACUGAGGAACGCAGCGAAUGCCUUUAGGCGAGAUUGCUGGGUGCUUGCGCUGAUACAUGCUAGAAUUUCUGCUUUGGGUGGUGCUAGUGUGUAAAGGAGUAACCCGCUUAGUAUAUUUUUUAUUCGCUUAGGUUGUUGGCUUAAUGACUCUAAAUGACCCGUCUUGAAACACGGACCAAGGAGUCCACCAUUAGUGCAAGUAUUUGGGUGACAAACCCAUAUGCGCAAGGAAACUGAUUGAUACGAAGGCGCAAGCUGGCAGUAUCACCCGGCGUUGACGUUUUAUACUGAACUGACCGAGGUAAAGCACUAAUGAUGGGACCCGAAAGAUGGUGAACUAUGCCUGAAUAGGGUGAAGCCGGAGGAAACUCCGGUGGAGGCUCGUAGCGAUUCUGACGUGCAAAUCGAUCGUCAAAUUUGGGUAUAGGGGCGAAAGACUAAUCGA